GAGCGCGGCCAAUGGGAGCGCGCGCCGGGGGGGCCGCCGGGGCCCAACGGGCGUCGGUCGCUCCGCGCGUGCGCCGCAGUUUCGGCGCUGAGGGGCGGGUGGCGGUGUCGGCUCUGCCGCGGGCCGCAGCGCAGCGAUGGAGCCGGGAUACGGCGGAUACGGCACUUGGAGCGCGGGGGCCACCAACACCCAAGGUACCUACGCCACGAACGCCCCGAGUUGGCAAGGCUAUGAAGGCUAUGACUACUACAACCCCCAAACCACUUCCGCCAACACGGCGGCCACGUACAACUACGCCGCAACCUCCAGCGGUUGGGAGACACCUAAAGCUUCGGAGCUGAGCCUCAGCGCCGACGUCGGCGCCACCAUGUCCGUCCCCUCCUACGGCACCGAGACUUCGGCCAACGAUAACUCCGAUUCCAUCAUCGCCAAAAUCAACCAACGGCUGGAUAUGCUGUCCAAGGAGGGCAGCGGCGGUGCCGGGGACGGCAUGGACGACCAGGAGAGCUCUUUCCGAUUCGAAUCCUUCGAUUCAUACGACUCGAGGUCUUCGCUCAACGACCGUGACAUGUACCGAUCCAGCUAUGACUACGGAGAAGUCGGAACCGACCGGAACGAUUCCUUCGGGAGCCAAUUUGAUAACCGUAGGGAUCAAUCUCGCAACCGAGGAAACAACUACGGGCUGAUCCGAGGCCGAGCUCAAAACCGCGUUCAAAACCGCGGCCGUCUGAACACUUUCAACCGCUCCGACCACUUCAUGCCCUCCUCCAGCUCCGAACGCCUCUCGGCUCGUUGGAAUGAGUUAAACUACAUGGGUGGGCGUGGGAUGGGAGGGGCCGGAUCCAACAGGCUCCCUUCACUCUUUUCCCAAGCCCUCGUUCCCGAUUACAGCGACUACGGAGAUUAUGGAGAUUACGGUGACUACGGCGAUUACGGGGAUUACGGGGAUUAUGGCGAUUACGGAGAUUACGGUGACUACGGAGACUAUGACUAUGGCAUGAUGGGGAUGUCGGGAAUGGGACGGUACGGGAACGUCCCGUAUGGAAUGGGGAGGCAGCGAAACAGAGACAGGAUGGGGACGGUGCCCUGGCACACCAACACGCUCACGCCCAAGAGAAGAGGUUUUCGAAACCGUUCCGGAGGGCGAUCAGACAGUGAGGGAGGAGGAAGGAAACGAAAGCAGUCACAAAGCGGAGAUGAACCGGAUGGCAAACAGGCCAAGACGGACAGCGAGGGAGACAACACGGAGAACGAUGAGGGCGACGGGGAGGAGAAAUCGGGAGAUGAAGCUGACAGAGCAUCUGGAGACGGCUGUGAAGACGACGAUGAGGAGGUGAAAAAGAAGAGGGAGAAGCAGCGGAGAAGAGACAGGAUGCGCGAUCGUGCUAUGGACAGAAUCCAGUUUGCCUGUUCCGUCUGCAAGUUCCGCAGUUUUGAGGAAGAAGAGAUCCAGAAGCAUCUCCAGAGCAAGUUCCACAAGGACACUUUGCGAUACAUCGGUACCAAACUCCCAGAUAAAACCGUUGAGUUUCUGCAGGAAUACAUCGUCAACCGGAAUAAGAAAAUCGAGAAGCGCCGCCAGGAGCUGACGGAGAAGGAGGGCACGAAGCAGAAACCGGAUCCUUUUAAGGGGAUUGGCCAGGAACACUUCUUCAAGAAGAUCGAGGCGGCUCACUGCAUGGCGUGCGAUAUGUUGAUCCCCGCGCAGAACCAUCUUCUCCAGAGGCACCUCCGAUCCGCCGACCACAACAGGAACCGCAGGAUGGCGGCGGAGCAGUUCAAGAAAACCAGCUUGCACGUCGCCAAGAGCGUCUUGAACAACAAACACAUCGUAAAGAUGCUGGAAAAAUACCUCAAGGUGAGUGAACGAGGGAGACGGCAGCUCCCGCCGAGGUCCCGGAGCAACCAGAGCCGCGUCCUGCUGUGCCGCACGGACGGGAGAAGCGGAGCUUUUGCUCCACUGCAGUUUUCUUUCUGCAUCUCGAGUCCGGUUUGUCUUCUCUGUAGGCACUUUCCCUCUUCUUGUGUGUGUGUUUUUCCGGAGCUCGCAGCCUGUACUCGCUGCCUCCUUCCCAGGUGCCGGGUAGAUCCGUUCCGGAACCAUCCAAAGCUGAAAAGGAAUUAAAGGAACCAAAGUAGCCAAAGGAGCUCCAGGUUCCCAAAGCCGCUGUGCGCGUGAGGCCUUGGGGAGGCCUCCGAUUCCUCCCCGGUGCAGGGAAAGCAGCGGGUGGGAUGGGAAGGCACCGUUUGAGUCCUGCCGGGAUUGACUCCGAUGUGGACGGCUCCUGGCCCGCCUGCUGGCCUUGCAUCAGGGACGGAAUGCUUAUCUCGUUAGAGCUGAGCUCUGGUUUAUCUCAAAGAGCUGAGCUCCGGUGCUCCGGGCAGCGCGUCCCGAGGUAAGGGGAGGCCAUCCAGUUUCUAGGAGCCGGAAUGCUUUCCUUAGCCCCCUUUUUUUCCUCCUCUUCCUUUGGGAAGUGGCAGAGAUCGCCCCAACCGAUCGUCUGAGCCGGGAUGGAGCACGAGGAGAGGUCGGGGUAGGGUUGGCUUAAGCCUAAAGCAGCGUGUGGAAUGACGAAGGCCGGAAGGCAAGCGCGGUCUUGGCAGCGUUUGGGGGGUUUUCCGCUCCGUGCGGGAACGUCGCUGGGCGUGUGUGCUGAGCCUAAAGCACCUCGCGGUAUCCGCGGGUCCGGCGUGGGUUUAACGGGCGAGGUCUGCAUCCGAGAGAGGAAAGGUCGCAACCUCCUCCACCAGGCGAAGAGGAAAAGAAGCGCUUUUGGCUACUUGCUUGUUCCCUGGGAAUCCGGGAACGGCCCAGGAUCCGGCAGGAGAAGCCCUUGUGUGCAGCCAAGGGCGGGCAGAUGCCGACACACGGCCCCCUACGGGGGAGCAGACUCUUUCCCCUCGCCCACCGGAGUCCCGGUUGGGAAUGUGGCCCAAACCUGGACGGAGCUGGCUCUCGUCAGGCCCGGUCUGUGCUCAGAUCCAUAAAACUGGCGACUCCGCUUUGGGAGUCCGGGGGAACGGAGCCGCUGAGCUGAGCGUGCCGGCGUGGGAUGGCCGUGUCCCUUAAACCGCUCUUGUUCCUCUUGACCAGGAGGGUGAGGGCAAACCCCACCCGAGAAGGAGAGAGCCCUCGGGGCAGAGGAGGUGCGAACCUCCAGGAUCUCUCCGAGAGAUUUAAACCAUAAAUAAAACUCCCCUCUCCCCAAAAAGGCCGGGACCGCUCAAGUGCAACUCCGUCUACCCCUGCCAGGGUCCGCAGGCACGGCCUCCUCUCCUCAUGAGCUCCGGUAUCAAAGGCUGCCGGCAGAGCUAACUGCAUCGGCACGGGACCUUUGGCCAGCGGCACGAGGAGAUCUUCGGAUCCAUCCCAGCACGGGCUCCGUAUCAUUCCCAGGUGCAAAACCAGACUGAAAAGGGGUGGAAGGAAAAUCUGAGGAUUCCAGGGAGAAGAUCCGUUUACGGAUGAAAUCGCAGAUCAGGAGGUGGAUGAAGCUUUGGAUGGCGGCGACGGCACCGGGGAAGGAGUGACUGAAACCGCCACUGCGGAGGUUGCCCAGGAAGGCGAAGGAGGAAUCGGAGA
Molecule: RNA transcript, 3583 nt
Organism: Cuculus canorus (common cuckoo)
Lineage: Eukaryota; Metazoa; Chordata; Aves; Cuculiformes; Cuculidae
Gene: AKAP8
Gene name: A-kinase anchoring protein 8
Exons: 13
Source: RefSeq, a predicted model, not a curated record